Molecule: unclassified non-coding RNA, 240 nt
Filed under: soil metagenome
Description: partial contains 5.8S ribosomal RNA, internal transcribed spacer 2, and large subunit ribosomal RNA
Source: RNAcentral
AACGCACGAGACCUGCGGACCUGCGGAAGGAUCAUCAAAAAAAGAGAAGGGUGUGAAAGUUUUCUUUCACCUCUCUCUCCUUUUUUAUUAAUUUUUUCUUUCUUUCCCCCUUUUUCUAUUAUACUCCCAGGAGUUGUAAUUAGAGAAAAAGGGGUGAGAAAAGAAACUUGUCGACUUCUUGUUGUCCCCUUUUAGGAGAGUUUCUUUUAAAAAGGGGGGAGACCCUUUUCCCUCUCCAAC